This 602-nucleotide long non-coding RNA is filed under the name Homo sapiens (human). RNAcentral describes it as "HSALNT0350602". Lineage: Eukaryota; Metazoa; Chordata; Mammalia; Primates; Hominidae. The record is from RNAcentral.
GACGCACAAACCACGGCUGCCCUCUGGUGCGUCGGGUUCCUUGUGGGGGGAUCACCAGGCAGGAGAGAGCACCACCGUCCUGGCAGAUCUGGAAACUGGACGGCCCCAAACUGAGUCCAAGUCCUGCAUCUGCCAGUCGUGUGAACUUGGGCAUGAGAACGCCCUUCUCUCUGCAAGAAGAUGCCCGCCCUUACCAAGGUGACUUCCAAGGACUUCAGGAACCUGAAACCUCGUCCUUGAUCGACUCGUGGUGUUGAAGGCCCUGCCAAAGCCAGCCUGGCACUGCUCUCUGGGAUGGAGACGGGAGAUGGCAUUCCGGGUCUAAAUUCUCGUGGGUGGUUCUCAGCUGUCAGGAGGUGCCAGGCUUACCUGCCAGGACCGUGGUUUUCUGUCAUUGUAACUGUGGGAAUGGCUAAGUCCUGUCUAUGACAGUCACACGAAAUAAAGUGUUCUGUGCUCCAGGAAAGGCUGUGCUCUGUGAGGCAUUUUUCUUAUCACUGUUCUCCAAAAGGACAGUAGGAUUUUAAGCCAGGAGCUGAAACAGGCGGCGAGGGCCAGGCACUGAGGUGGCCCCGCCUGUUGGAGAGGCAGGUGAUGCCUAG